This 268-nucleotide ribosomal RNA is filed under the name uncultured soil bacterium. Its description in RNAcentral is "partial 16S ribosomal RNA". It matches the Rfam family "Bacterial small subunit ribosomal RNA", at positions 26 to 280 of the family's 1533-position model. The record is from RNAcentral.
AGAAUCAACGCUGGCGGCGUGCCUAACACAUGCAAGUCGAACGCGAAAGUGGAGCAAUCCAUUAGUAGAGUGGCAAACGGGUGAGUAACACGUGGGCGACCUACCUCAGAGUGGGGGAUAACCUUCCGAAAGGAGGGCUAAUACCGCAUGACAUCCCGUGUUUGGAUACACGGAGAUCAAUGCCGGGGAUCGCAAGACCUGGCGCUUGGAGAGGGGCCCGCGUCCGAUUAGGCUAGUUGGUGAGGUAACGGCUCACCAAGGCUCCGAU